This 484-nucleotide ribosomal RNA is filed under the name uncultured Bacillus sp. Its description in RNAcentral is "bacterial SSU rRNA". It matches the Rfam family "Bacterial small subunit ribosomal RNA", at positions 903 to 1382 of the family's 1533-position model. The record is from RNAcentral. Lineage: Bacteria; Bacillati; Bacillota; Bacilli; Caryophanales; Bacillaceae.
CUACAAAGGAAUUGACGGGGCCCGCACAAGCGGUGGAGCAUGUGGUUUAAUUCGACGCAACGCGAAGAACCUUACCAGGGCUUGACAUCCCCUGACCGCGUAUGAAAGUACGUUUUCACCCUCGGGUGACAGGGAGACAGGUGGUGCAUGGUUGUCGUCAGCUCGUGUCGUGAGAUGUUGGGUUAAGUCCCGCAACGAGCGCAACCCCUACGUUUAGUUGCUAACGCGUGAAGGCGAGCACUCUAGACGAACUGCCGUUGACAAAACGGAGGAAGGUGGGAUGACGUCAAAUCAUCAUGCCCCUUAUGUUCUGGGCUACACACGUGCUACAAUGGCCGGUACAGACGGACGCAAAGCCGCGAGGUGGAGCAAAUCCUAAAAAGCCGGUCUCAGUUCGGAUUGCAGGCUGCAAUUCGCCUGCAUGAAGUCGGAAUCGCUAGUAAUCGCAGGUCAGCAUACUGCGGUGAAUACGUUCCCGGGCCUU